AUUUCUUUAUUAAAAAACUAUAGAUUAGUAGAUUAAUCAUUAUUAUUAAUGUUCUAAUUAUCUUAAUAACUGCAGCACUAUGGCAUGGCAGUCACCAAACCAGGAAAUUAUCACAACAGCUUCCCAGAUCAAUGAUCUUAUGACUGGGAAAUACAUCGAUUACCAGGUAAGUUUCUCUUGACUUUAUAUUUGAUAAAUUUCCAUUACAUUCAGUAAGGCUUACAAGACAUAUUGAAUCAUUUCUUUUUUAUUAUCUAUAUGUAAAAGAUCAUUGAUUGGUAUGGACGAAAGGUUCUAAAUCAAUAUGAGAGCUUCAGAGAAAUUGAGCCAUUUCAAAGAGGAGUUGCCAUCUUCUCGGCUUAUGCAUGGGUAAGUAAUUUCCAAACUCAUCCUUUCUGAUGAAGUUGAUGUGUAUAUUAAUCAACUUAUAACAUUUGAAACAGACAUGGUUGCGCGACUUUAAAGGGCAGAAGAGAAGAAAGAAAACAAAUUCAGGUGAGAUUCAAAAUAAGGAAGACAUGUACUGGAAGGAAGUGAUUGAAAAAUUCAAUGGAAAGGAGAAGCUCUUUUUGUUUCCAUUAAACACUUCAAGAACUGCUAGAGACAAGGCUGGGUAUCAUUGGAGUCUUCUUGUGCUCGAGAAAGGUUUUGGAUGGACUCUUUAU
Molecule: long non-coding RNA, 665 nt
Filed under: Aquilegia coerulea
Lineage: Eukaryota; Viridiplantae; Streptophyta; Magnoliopsida; Ranunculales; Ranunculaceae
Description: long non-coding RNA (ACOE_LNC002075)
Source: RNAcentral